GAUGGACGCUGGCGGCGUGCCUAAUACAUGCAAGUCGAGCGAAUGGAUUAAGAGCUUGCUCUUAUGAAGUUAGCGGCGGACGGGUGAGUAACACGUGGGUAACCUGCCCAUAAGACUGGGAUAACUCCGGGAAACCGGGGCUAAUACCGGAUAACAUUUUGAACCGAAUGGUUCGAAAUUGAACGGCGGCGUCGGCUGUCACUUAUGGAUGGACCCGCGUCGCAUUAGCUAGUUGGUGAGGUAACGGCUAACAAAGGCAACGAUGCGUAGCCGACCUGAGAGGGUGAUCGGCCACACUGGGACUGAGACACGGCCCAGACUCCUACGGGAGGCAGCAGUAGGGAAUCUUCCGCAAUGGACGAAAGUCUGACGGAGCAACGCCGCGUGAGUGAUGAAGGCUUUCGGGUCGUAAAACUCUGUUGUUAGGGAAGAACAAGUGCUAGUUGAAUAAGCUGGCACCUUGACGGUACCUAACCAGAAAGCCACGGCUAACUACGUGCCAGCCGCCGCCGUAA
Molecule: ribosomal RNA, 515 nt
Filed under: uncultured bacterium
Lineage: Bacteria
Description: partial 16S ribosomal RNA
Rfam family: Bacterial small subunit ribosomal RNA
Source: RNAcentral